This is a transfer RNA of Alligator mississippiensis (American alligator), 74 nucleotides long. It matches the Rfam family "tRNA". From Rfam's summary of the family: Transfer RNA (tRNA) molecules are approximately 80 nucleotides in length. NCBI's taxonomy places the organism in Eukaryota, Metazoa, Chordata, Crocodylia, Alligatoridae. The record is from Rfam.
GGCUCCAUGGCUCAGUGGUUUGAACACUGGUUUUGUAAAUCAGAGGUUGUGAGUUCAACCUCUCACUAGAGUCU